AUGAACAUUAUUCAAAAGACAACGAUGUGAAAUUAGAGGAACAUAGCAUUAUGGAACAUAUGGGCAUUGACUCAGGAACCGCUAAUAUUUUUGAUGACGUAGACAAGAAUGACUUUAAAACUGACUUUGGUUCCGAAUUUCCAAUUUUUUCUCCUAUGCCUGGAGAGUCCUGUGAGAAUGCCAACUCUUCCUUAGACAGAAGAAUUUCAGUUAAUAGUGAGAAGAUGGUGAAGAGAGAAAAACAGAGGGAAUUAAUAUUUCCAUCCAAUUAUGACCUCCUUCGGCACCUGCAAUAUGCCACACAUUUCCCUAUAC
Long non-coding RNA from Trichosurus vulpecula (common brushtail), 315 nucleotides. RefSeq lists it as uncharacterized. The record is from RefSeq and is a predicted model, not a curated record. Lineage: Eukaryota; Metazoa; Chordata; Mammalia; Diprotodontia; Phalangeridae. The transcript is spliced from 3 exons.